CCUACGCGAGGCAGCAGUGGGGAAUUUUGCGCAAUGCUCGUAAGAGUGACGCAGCGACGCCGCGUGAAUGACGAAGGCCUUCGGGUCGUAAAGUUCUUUCGACAGGGAAGAAAAUGCCUAUAAGUAACUGUGUAUGUAUUGACGGUACCUGUAUAAGCAGCCCCGGCUAACUCCGUGCCAGCAGCCGCGGUAAUACGGAGGGGGCGAGCGUUGUUCGGAGUGACUGGGCGUAAAGAGCACGUAGGCGGUGUUGUAAGUCAUUAGUCAAAGACUAGAGCUCAACUUUAGUAAGGUUAGUGAUACGAUAAUAAUAGAGGAGCAGAGAGGAUUGGAGAAGUCCUGGGGUAGCGGGGAAAUGCGUAGAUACCAGGAGGAAUAACGUUAGCGAAGGCGGCAAUCUGGCUGGAAACUGACGCUGAGGUGCGAAAGCGUGGGUAGCAAACAGGAUUAGAUACCCGGGUAGUC
Molecule: ribosomal RNA, 465 nt
Filed under: uncultured bacterium
Lineage: Bacteria
Description: partial 16S ribosomal RNA
Rfam family: Bacterial small subunit ribosomal RNA
Source: RNAcentral